This 996-nucleotide long non-coding RNA is filed under the name Ictidomys tridecemlineatus (thirteen-lined ground squirrel). RNAcentral's name for it is "lncRNA (ENSSTOG00000034092.1)". Lineage: Eukaryota; Metazoa; Chordata; Mammalia; Rodentia; Sciuridae. The record is from RNAcentral.
AUGGAUGUGCAAAGAAGGCAAAAUGUCUCUGAGACUCUUCAAUUCAGGAGACUACUGAUCAGACACUUGUGUCUAAAAUUCACCAUGCUUUAUGCACAAGGUUGGCCCCUGCUAUGCUUCUCAUUGUGUGAUCUUUCUGUGACUGUGUCUUAUAGGUGAGUUAAGCCUCCUUCCUCAUUAGCUUGUUAUCUUGUUAACACUACAGUGAGCACUGGUGGCCCUUGGUCUCUCUCAUACCGUGGCACCUAAACUAUGUCCUUGAGAUGAAAAUGGUUUUCUGGAUCAUUUUUGAAGGGAGGCUCCUGUUUUGGACUCCACCCUUCAGCUUUGAAUUGGGACCAGCUGGGAGACUGUAACUUCUAAAUCACCAUGAUUUCAUCUUUUGUUCUUCCCUGCCUCAGCUGUCUCAGCAGUCUCAACAGUGAAUUGCAGGAAGAGGAAGAGAAUGACCUCCAGCUGGAUGAAAAAUAUUUUCAGUACUCUGGUCAUCCUAAUUCAUGUGACACACAAGAACUUGUCGGAAGCUCUGUGUUCCCAUCACAUGAGCCUAAAGUCAGCUCUACUGUGGAUGGAAACAAACUGAAUUUGAAUACUUGCAUUGAACUGCAGAACCCUCCCAAGCUUGAGGGUGAUGCCCUUAAAGGCUUGGCUGUCAAAACACCUGGAUGUGAGCUGAAUGUCCUCACUGAUACUAUGAGUGUCCUGAAACAGAAGAUCAUGAAAAGAAAACAGCUCUUCUGCAAGUGGAGAAUGGCAUGCAGAUUCCCAGGACUUCAAGCUUUGGCAUUCCCAAUGGUGAACUGCAGGAGGAAAAAGAGGAUGACCUCCUGCUGGGGAAAACUUAUUUUCUACCCUUGGAUCAUCCUAAUUUAUCUAACACACAAGAACUUGUCAGAAACACUGUCUUCCCAUCAGCUGAGCCUAAAGUCAGUUCUGCUGUGGAUGAAGCCAAGCAUGUCCUCAAUGAUGCCACAGGUGUCUGCAAACAAAAGAUAA